GGGGAAUCUUGCGCAAUGGGCGAAAGCCUGACGCAGCGACGCCGCGUGUGGGAUGACGGCCUUCGGGUUGUAAACCACUGUCGGGAGGGACGAAAAAAAUGACGGUACCUCCAAAGGAAGCACCGGCUAACUCUGUGCCAGCAGCCGCGGUAAUACAGAGGGUGCGAGCGUUGUCCGGAAUUACUGGGCGUAAAGGGCGCGUAGGCGGCCCGAUAAGUCGGGGGUGAAAUUCAGCGGCUCAACCGCUGGACUGCCUUCGAGACUGUCAGGCUCGAGCACGGUAGAGGCUGGUGGAAUUCCCGGUGUAGCGGUGGAAUGCGUAGAGAUCGGGAAGAACAUCGGUGGCGAAGGCGGCCAGCUGGGCCGUUGCUGACGCUGAGGCGCGACAGCGUGGGGAGCAAACAGGAUUAGAUACCCUGGUAGUCCACGCCGUAAACGAUGGGUACUAGGCGUCGGGGGAGCGACCCCUUCGGUGCCGUCGUUAACACAGUAAGUACCCCGCCUGGGGGGUACGGCCGCAAGGCUG
Molecule: ribosomal RNA, 526 nt
Filed under: uncultured bacterium
Lineage: Bacteria
Description: bacterial SSU rRNA
Rfam family: Bacterial small subunit ribosomal RNA
Source: RNAcentral